RNAcentral lists this ribosomal RNA (495 nucleotides) under uncultured bacterium. RNAcentral describes it as "partial 16S ribosomal RNA". It matches the Rfam family "Bacterial small subunit ribosomal RNA", at positions 28 to 507 of the family's 1533-position model. The record is from RNAcentral.
GACGAACGCUGGCGGCGUGCCUAAUACAUGCAAGUAGGACGCUGAAGGAGGAGCUUGCUCUUCUGGAUGAGUUGCGAACGGGUGAGUAACGCGUAGGUAACCUGCCCGGUAGCGGGGGAUAACUAUUGGAAACGAUAGCUAAUACCGCAUAAGAGUAGAUGUUGCAUGACAUUUGCUUAAAAGGUGCAAUUGCAUCACUACCAGAUGGACCUGCGUUGUAUUAGCUAGUUGGUGGGGUAACGGCUCACCAAGGCGACGAUACAUAGCCGACCUGAGAGGGUGAUCGGCCACACUGGGACUGAGACACGGCCCAGACUCCUACGGGAGGCAGCAGUAGGGAAUCUUCGGCAAUGGACGGAAGUCUGACCGAGCAACGCCGCGUGAGUGAAGAAGGUUUUCGGAUCGUAAAGCUCUGUUGUAAGAGAAGAACGAGUGUGAGAGUGGAAAGUUCACACUGUGACGGUAUCUUACCAGAAAGGGACGGCUAACUACGUG